This 253-nucleotide ribosomal RNA is filed under the name uncultured bacterium. RNAcentral describes it as "partial 16S ribosomal RNA". It matches the Rfam family "Bacterial small subunit ribosomal RNA", at positions 524 to 776 of the family's 1533-position model. The record is from RNAcentral.
UACGUAGGGGGCUAGCGUUGUCCGGAAUCAUUGGGCGUAAAGCGCGUGUAGGCGGCUCGAUAAGUCUGCUGUGAAAGUCCAGGGCUCAACCCUGGGAUGCCGGUGGAUACUGUCGAGCUCGAGUCCGGAAGAGGCGAGUGGAAUUCCUGGUGUAGCGGUGAAAUGCGCAGAUAUAAGGAGGAACACCAAUUGCGAAGGCAGCUCGCUGGGACGUGACUGACGCUGAGACGCGAAAGCGUGGGGAGCAAACAGG